GUUCGGAUUGUGUUCUGCAACUCCACCCCAUGAAGUCGGAGUCGCUAGUAAUCGCACAUCAGCAUUGCUGCGGUGAAUACGUUCCCGGGCCUUGUACACACCGCCCGUCACGUCACGAAAGUCGGUAACACCCGAAGCCGGUGGCCCAACCCUUGUGGAGGGAGCCGUCCAAGGUGGGACUGGCGAUUGGGACGAAGUCGUAACAAGGUAGCCGUACCGGAAGGUGCGGUUGGAUCACCUCC
RNAcentral lists this ribosomal RNA (242 nucleotides) under Streptomyces lavendulae. RNAcentral's name for it is "partial 16S ribosomal RNA". It matches the Rfam family "Bacterial small subunit ribosomal RNA", at positions 1291 to 1530 of the family's 1533-position model. Lineage: Bacteria; Bacillati; Actinomycetota; Actinomycetes; Kitasatosporales; Streptomycetaceae. The record is from RNAcentral.